GUCCACGCCGUAAACGAUGACUACUAGGUGUCGGGGAGCAAAGCUCUUCGGUGCCGCAGCAAACGCAAUAAGUAGUCCACCUGGGGAGUACGUUCGCAAGAAUGAAACUCAAAGGAAUUGACGGGGACCCCGCACAAGCGGUGGAGCAUGUGGUUUAAUUCGAAGCAACGCGAAGAACCUUACCUGCUCUUGACAUCCCGGUGACCGGCAUGUAAUGAUGCCUUUUCUUCGGAACACCGGUGACAGGUGGUGCAUGGUUGUCGU
This 264-nucleotide ribosomal RNA is filed under the name uncultured bacterium. Its description in RNAcentral is "partial 16S ribosomal RNA". It matches the Rfam family "Bacterial small subunit ribosomal RNA", at positions 793 to 1055 of the family's 1533-position model. The record is from RNAcentral.